This 274-nucleotide ribosomal RNA is filed under the name uncultured bacterium. RNAcentral's name for it is "partial 16S ribosomal RNA". It matches the Rfam family "Bacterial small subunit ribosomal RNA", at positions 523 to 796 of the family's 1533-position model. The record is from RNAcentral.
AUACGGAGGGUGCAAGCGUUACUCGGAAUCACUGGGCGUAAAGGACGCGUAGGCGGCUUCAUAAGUCAGGUGUGAAAGCCCACGGCUCAACCGUGGAACUGCACUUGAAACUGUGAUGCUAGAGUCUGGGAGAGGCAGAUGGAAUUGGUGGUGUAGGGGUAAAAUCCGUAGAGAUCACCAGGAAUACCGAUGGCGAAGGCGAUCUGCUGGAACAGUACUGACGCUGAGGCGUGAAAGCGUGGGGAGCAAACAGGAUUAGAAACCCUAGUAGUCU